UUAAGUAGGAUGGAAGCGCGAGAUCCGGAUAGGCAAAUCCGCCGGGUCGUAUGCCAGGAAAAUCCGCUAAGGUUAGGCUAUUGGAGACCGUACCACAAACCGACACAGGUGGACGAGUAGAAUAUACUCAGGCGCUCGGGUGACCGAUUGUUCAGGAACUAGGCACAUUAACCCCGUAACUUCGGGAGAAGGGGUGCUCUACUUCGGUAGAGCCGCAGCGAAUCGCGUCAGGCGACUGUUUAACAAAAACACAGGUCUCUGCAAAGUCAAAAAUACGACGUAUAGGGGCUGACUCCUGCCCGGUGCCGGAAGGUUAAAAGGAGAGGUUAGUGGCUAGCAAUAGCUGCGAAGCUUUGAAUUGAAGCCCCGGUGAACGGCGGCCGUAACUAUAACGGUCCUAAGGUAGCAAAAUUCCUUGUCGGGUAAGUUCCGACCUGCACGAAUGGAGUAACGAUCUGACGACUGUCUUAACAAUUAGCCCGGCGAAUUUGUGGUUCCGGUGAAGACGCCGGAUGCCCGCAGCAAGACGGAAAGACCCCGUGCACCUUUACUAUACUUUAUCAAUGAUUUAUGGGUUGUUCUGCGCAGGAUAGGUGGGAGGCUUUGAAGUCGGACUCUUGGGUUCGAUGGAGCCAAUGGUGAGAUACCACCCUGAUCAAUCUGUGACUCUAACCUACUCCCGUUAUCCGGGAGAGGGACAUUGGUAGACGGGUAGUUUGACUGGGGCGGUCGCCUCCUAAAAUGUAACGGAGGCGUACGAAGCUACGUUCACUCUGUUUGGAAAUCAGAGGUCGAGUGCAAUGGCAUAAACGUGGUUAACUGCGAGACCAACAAGUCAAGCAGAUGCGAAAGCAGGUCAUAGUGAUCCGGUGGUUCUGUAUGGAAGGGCCAUCGCUCAACGGAUAAAAGGUACGCCGGGGAUAACAGGCUGAUCGGAGCCAAGAGUUCACAUCGACGCUCCGGUUUGGCACCUCGAUGUCGGUUCAUCGCAUCCUGGGGGUGUAGAAGCUCCCAAGGGUUAGGCUGUUCGCCUAUUAAAGCGGUACGUGAACUGGGUUCAGAACGUCGCGAGACAGUUCGGUCCCUAUCUGCUGUGGGCGUAGGAAAAUUGAGAGGGCCUGGCAUUAGUACGAGAGGACCGUGCUGGACCAACCUCUUGUGAUUCAGUUGUCCCACCAGGGGCACUGCUGAGUAGCGAAGUUGGGUUAGGAUAAGCGCUGAAUGCAUAUAAGCGCGAAACCUUCCUCAAGAUGAGUUUUCCCAAGCAUUAAGCUAAGAAGGGCCGUGGUAGACCACCACGUCGAUAGGACGGAUGUGUAAGCGCAGUGAUGCGUUGAGCUAACCGUUACUAACCGCCCGUUCGGCUUGACCAA
Molecule: ribosomal RNA, 1373 nt
Filed under: metagenome
Description: bacterial LSU rRNA
Rfam family: Bacterial large subunit ribosomal RNA
Source: RNAcentral